AUUGAACGCUGGCGGCAGGCUUAACACAUGCAAGUCGAGCGGGGUGAUGGUGCUUGCACUAUCACUUAGCGGCGGACGGGUGAGUAAUGCUUAGGAAUCUGCCUAUUAGUGGGGGACAACAUCUCGAAAGGGAUGCUAAUACCGCAUACGUCCUACGGGAGAAAGCAGGGGAUCACUUGUGACCUUGCGCUAAUAGAUGAGCCUAAGUCGGAUUAGCUAGUUGGUGGGGUAAAGGCCUACCAAGGCGACGAUCUGUAGCGGGUCUGAGAGGAUGAUCCGGCACACUGGGACUGAGACACGGCCCAGACUCUUACGGGAGGCAGCAGUGGUGAAUAUUGGACAAUGGGGGGAACCCUGAUCCAGCCAUGCCGCGUGUGUGAAGAAGGCAUUAUGGUUGUAAAGCACUUUAAGCGAGGAGGAGGCUAUUUUGGUUAAUACCCAAGAUGAGUGGACGUUACUCGCAGAAUAAGCACCGGCUAACUCUGUGCCAGCAGCCGCGGUAA
This 503-nucleotide ribosomal RNA is filed under the name uncultured bacterium. RNAcentral describes it as "partial 16S ribosomal RNA". It matches the Rfam family "Bacterial small subunit ribosomal RNA", at positions 30 to 523 of the family's 1533-position model. The record is from RNAcentral.